GAUGAAGAACGUAGCGAAAUGCGAUAAGUAGUGUGAAUUGCAGAAUUCAGUGAAUCAUCGAAUCUUUGAACGCACAUUGCGCCCCUUGGUAUUCCAUGGGGCAUGCCUGUUCGAGCGUCAAUUGUACCUUCAAGCUCUGCUUGGUGUUGGGUGUUUGUCUCGCCUCUGCGUGUAGACUCGCCUCAAAACAAUUGGCAGCCGGCGUAUUGAUUUCGGAGCGCAGUACAUCUCGCGCUUUGCACUCAUAACGACGACGUCCAAAAGUACAUUUUUACACUCUUGACCUCGGAUCAGGUAGGGAUACCCGCUGAACUUAAGCAUAUCAAUAAGCGGAGGA
RNAcentral lists this unclassified non-coding RNA (337 nucleotides) under soil metagenome. Its description in RNAcentral is "partial contains 5.8S ribosomal RNA, internal transcribed spacer 2, and large subunit ribosomal RNA". The stretch from base 1 to 120 matches the Rfam family "5.8S ribosomal RNA", at positions 35 to 154 of the family's 154-position model. The record is from RNAcentral.